Molecule: RNA transcript, 3860 nt
Organism: Mesocricetus auratus (golden hamster)
Lineage: Eukaryota; Metazoa; Chordata; Mammalia; Rodentia; Cricetidae
Gene: Polrmt
Gene name: RNA polymerase mitochondrial
Exons: 20
Source: RefSeq, a predicted model, not a curated record
CGCGCGCGCGUGCGCAGCGCGGGCAGCGGGCGGCAUGUCGGCGCUACGCUGGACCCGAGGCGCAGCGGGGUUCGGCCGGGCGUUGAGCUCCUCGGGGCGCCGCCGCCCGACCUCGGAGGAAGGGACCCUCAGUGGCCUCUGUAGCUCAAGAAGGAGCUCCGCCGCAAGUCCCCGCGAGCAGGAUGUCCAGAAGGAGUGGGGCCACGCCGAACUGCUGGAAGUGCUGGAGGCUCGGGUGCGGCAGCUGCGGGCGGAGAGCAUGUCUGAGGUCAUGGUGAAGAAGGUGCCCCCCCCAAAGGGCGACAGCAGCCGCUGGACCCAGAAACUGGAGGCCGAGAGAGAGGUGCACCGGAAGCGCCAGGAGCGGUUUAUUGACCAGCAGCAGCAGGUCCUGACAUUGCAGAUGGAACCCCGGAUCUGGAGCAAGAAGCUGGCUGGCUGCUUGCAGCAGAGCCAAAAGGGGGCGCCCCGGAGCCAGGGGGAGGAGGAGCAGCGGCUGGCCCAGGCCCUGAAGGCCGCGCUGCCAAAGCUAAGUCCCAGCACCCUGGCGGAGACGAAGGCCACAGCUGUGGAGGCCAGCAUCUUGCUUCUCCAGCAGAAGUUUCUGGCUUUCUUUGAGUGCUGUGCCAUAACUGACAACAUGCCCCUGGCCCACCACGUGCUGGUCACUCAGCACAACAAGUGUGACAAGCAGCAGCUGCUCACACUGGACAUGUACAACACGGUGAUGCUCGGCUGGGCCCGCAAGGGCUCCUUCAAGGAGCUGGUGUAUGUGUUCAUCAUGCUGAAGGACGCUGGCCUCUCCCCAAACCUGUGGUCCUACGCAGCUGCACUCCAGUGCAUGGGACGCAGGGACCAGGGUGUCCACAUCAUCCAGAGGUGUCUGAAGCAGAUGACGGAAGAAGGGUUCCAGCCCCAGCAGCUCUUCAGUGACCUGGUCCUGACAGAGGAGGAGAGGGACGCUCUGCUGAGAGCACUGGUCAAGGCUGAGCCCGCCUUCCGAGUGCCGCCACAGGCCCCAGACCCUGUCAACACAUCCACGCUGCUCAAGGAGAUCUAUGCCAGGGAGGGUCCCCAGUCCUACCCGAAGUUGCACCUGCCCCUGGAGACCCUGCAGGACCUCUUUCACCAGCAGCUGCAAGUGGAGCUGAGCCCCAGCGUCUGUGUCCAGUCAGUGGAGAAGGCCCCAGUAUUGACCAAGGAGGUCCUUGAGGCGCGGCAGACGCUGAAGGCGCUGCAGGGCCAAUGGGAGGUGGAGCUGCUGCGGGUGCUGCGCCACACCAAGGCCACCAUGGCCUACCAGGCGCGGGAAGGCCAGCCGACCCUCUACCCGUUCCUGUGCCUGCUGAGUGAAGAGGAGUUCGUGAGCAUGCUGAUGCAGGCUCUGCGGCUGCUGCCGGCACAGGGUGAGCCUCUCCUCCACCUGGCCCAUGACCUGGGCCUUCGUGUCUUAAAUCGACAUUUGGUGAAGAAGAAGCAGGAAACCAACCAUGUGCAGAAGCUGGGGCAGCAUUACUCACAGUACCUCCGGCUGCUGGCUUCCGACACGCAGGUGGAGGCGCCCUGCUUCCCUCGGGAGUACUGGGAAUCGCUGGGCCCAUUGGAGACCCCAAAGCAGCAUCCCUGGUCCGUGGCGGUGGUGCUACACCUGGGCAAGCAGCUGGCCGAGAUGUUGGUGCAGGCAGCGCGGAUGCCACGCAAUCUGGCCGCCCCACAGGCAUCGUGUCACCCCAUCCCGGUGCUGUACCACGUGUACUCCUUCCGAAGCUACCGCCAGAUCGGCAUCCUCAAGCCUCACCCAGCCUUCUCCCAGCUGCUGGAGACGGCAGCGGAAUCCACACUGACCUUCGAGACCACAGAAGUGCCUAUGUUGUGUCCGCCGUUGCCCUGGACGUCAUCGCACACCGGGGCCUACCUGUUGACCCCCACCAAGCUGAUGCGCGCCACAGAGGGGGUCACACAGCACCAGCAUCUCCUGGAGCGCUGUGCUCCCACCCAACUACACGGCGCCCUGGACACGCUCACUCAGCUGGGGAACUGCGCCUGGCGUGUCAACGGGCGCCUGCUGGACUUGGUGCUGCAGAUCUUCAGGGACAAGGGUUGUUCGCGCCUGGGCGUUCCUCCUCCACGCUCAGAGGCGCCACAGCCGGCUCAGCAGCGCCCUCCACCCGGAGCCACACCUGUGCACAAGGCGGAGCUUCGGAAGGAGCUGUCCCGCUGCCUCAAAGCUGCUCGGGAGAUGCACAGCCUGCGCAUCGAAGCCUUGUACCGCCUGUCGCUGGCGCAGUACCUGCGGAACCGUGUCUUUUGGCUGCCACACAACAUGGACUUCCGCGGCCGCACCUACCCCUGCCCACCGCACUUCAACCACCUGGGUGGUGACCUGGUGCGCGCCCUGCUCGAGUUUGCCCAGGGCCGGCCGCUGGGGCCACGCGGCCUCGACUGGCUGAAGAUCCACCUGGUCAACCUGACUGGCCUCAAGAAGCGUGACUCGCUGCGCAUGCGCCUGGCUUUCGCAGAUGAGGUCAUGGAAGAGAUCUUGGACUCCGCAGACAACCCCCUGACGGGCCGGAAGUGGUGGAUGGAUGCUGAUGAGCCCUGGCAGACCCUGGCCUGCUGCAUGGAGGUGGCACAAGCAGUCCGGUCCCCAGAUCCGGCUGCCUAUGUCUCCCACCUGCCGGUUCACCAGGAUGGUUCCUGCAAUGGCUUGCAGCAUUACGCCGCCCUGGGCCGGGACAGCGCAGGGGCCGCCUCAGUCAACCUAAUGCCCUCGGACCUGCCCCAAGAUGUGUACAGGGAGGUGGCAGCACAGGUGGAGCAGCUCCGCCAGCAGGACGCCGACCAGGGCCUCCGGGUGGCCCAGGUGCUGAAGGGCUUCAUUACCCGUAAGGUGGUGAAGCAGACCGUGAUGACCGUGGUGUAUGGGGUCACGCGCUACGGUGGGCGCCUGCAGAUAGAGAAGCGUCUGCGCGAACUCAGCAACUUUCCCCAGGAGUUUGUCUGGGAAGCCUCACACUACCUCGUGCGCCUGGUCUUCAAAAGCCUACAGGAGAUGUUCUCCAGCACCCGGGCCAUCCAGCACUGGCUGACCGAGAGUGCCAAUCUCAUCUCCCACACGGGCUGGCCUGUGGAGUGGGUCACACCCCUGGGCAUCCCCAUCAUACAGCCCUAUCACCGUGAGGCCAAGAUCCAGGUAAAAGGUGGCAUCCAGAGUAUCACCUUAACCAGCUCCAUGGACUUCAGCCAGAAGCCCAACACUUUGAAGCAGAAGAAUGGCUUCCCGCCCAACUUCAUCCACUCCCUGGACUCCUCCCAUAUGAUGCUGACUGCCCUGCACUGCUACAGGAAAGGCCUGACCUUCGUCUCUGUGCACGACUGCUUCUGGACCCACGCCGCGGACAUCCCGGUGAUGAAUGAGCUGCCACCCCUCAGGUGUGCCGUGAGCAGUUCGUGCGCCUGCAUAGCCAGCCCAUCCUAGAAGACCUGGCUAAGUUCCUGGAGAAGCGCUUCUGCUCUGUCUCCAGGUCCCUGAAGCCCUCAGAACGUGCCCUGAUCACCCAGCUGCAGAAGACACUACAGUCCUUGCCACAGACCGGGCAUGGCUAACAACAGGACUGCGUAGAGGUCUUGAGCCCAGAACCUACGAAUGGGACUUUAUUUGGAAAUGGAGUCUUUGAAGAAUCACACAGACGAAGUCAAGCUUCAGGGGGCCUUUGUGAGCACAGUUAAAGGAGUAAGAAGAAAGGUGCUUGGGGCUGGAGAGACGGCUCAGAGGUUAAGAGUACUGGCUGAUCUUCCACAGGUCCCGAGUUCAAUUCCCCACAACCACAUGGUGGCUCACAACCAUCUACAAUUCAAUC